CACGUAGGGUGCGAGCGUUGUCCGGAAUUAUUGGGCGUAAAGAGCUCGUAGGCGGUGUGUCGCGUCGGCCGUGAAAACCUGUGGCUUAACCAUGGGCUUGCGGUCGAUACGGGCAUCACUGGAGUUCGGCAGGGGAGACUGGAAUUCCUGGUGUAGCGGUGAAAUGCGCAGAUAUCAGGAGGAACACCGGUGGCGAAGGCGGGUCUCUGGACCGACACUGACGCUGAGGCGCGAAAGCGUGGGGAGCAAACAGG
RNAcentral lists this ribosomal RNA (254 nucleotides) under uncultured bacterium. RNAcentral describes it as "partial 16S ribosomal RNA". It matches the Rfam family "Bacterial small subunit ribosomal RNA", at positions 524 to 776 of the family's 1533-position model. The record is from RNAcentral.